This 479-nucleotide ribosomal RNA is filed under the name uncultured bacterium. Its description in RNAcentral is "partial 16S ribosomal RNA". It matches the Rfam family "Bacterial small subunit ribosomal RNA", at positions 28 to 507 of the family's 1533-position model. The record is from RNAcentral.
GAUGAACGCUGGCGGCGUGCUUAACACAUGCAAGUCGAACGGCGCACUUUAACCUGCUACUUCGGAUGAAGGUUUUUGUGACUGCGUGGCGGAUGGGUGAGUAACGCGCGGGUAACCUGCCUCAUACAGGGGGGGAACUGAUAGAAAUGUCUGCUAAUACCGCAUAAGACCACAGUGCCUCAUGGCCCGGUGGUAAAAACUCCGGUGGUAUGAGAUGGACCCGCGUCUGGGUAGGUAGUUGGUGGGGUAACGGCUUACCAAGCGAACGAUCAGUAGCCCAACUGAGAGGGUGACCGGCCAGAUUGGGUCUGAGACACGGCCCCAGCUGCGACGGGAGGCAGCAGUGUGGAAGACUGCACCAGGGAGGAAGCGCGGAUGAAGCAACGCCGCGGGAGCGAAGAAGUAUUUCGGUAUGGGAAGCUAUAUCAGCAGGGGAGAAAAUGACGGUACCAGACGAAGAAGCAACGGCUAAAUACGUG